GAAUAUUGGACAAUGGGCGAAAGCCUGAUCCAGCAAUGCCGCGUGCAGGAUGAAGGCCUUCGGGUUGUAAACUGCUUUUUUACGGAACGACAAGCUUUGGGUUAAUACCCUGGAGUCCUGACGGUACCGUAAGAAUAAGCACCGGCUAACUACGUUCCAGCAGCCGCGGUAAUACGUAGGGUGCAAGCGUUCAUCGGAAGUACUGGGCGUAAAUCGUGCCCAUUCGAUUUGGUAAGACAGAGGUGAAGUCCCCGGGCUCAACCUGGGAACUGCCUUUGUGACUGCAAGGCUAGAGUACGGCAGAGGGGGGUUUAAUUCCUCUUUUAUCACUUAAAUGCCUAGAUAUUCGGAGGACCCCCCAUUUCUAAGGCCACCCCCUGAGCCUGUACUGACGCUCAUGCACGAAAGCGUGGGGAGCAAACAGG
RNAcentral lists this ribosomal RNA (425 nucleotides) under uncultured bacterium. Its description in RNAcentral is "partial 16S ribosomal RNA". It matches the Rfam family "Bacterial small subunit ribosomal RNA", at positions 359 to 776 of the family's 1533-position model. The record is from RNAcentral.